This 253-nucleotide ribosomal RNA is filed under the name uncultured bacterium. RNAcentral describes it as "partial 16S ribosomal RNA". It matches the Rfam family "Bacterial small subunit ribosomal RNA", at positions 524 to 776 of the family's 1533-position model. The record is from RNAcentral.
GACAGAGGUGGCGAGCGUUGUUCGGAUUUAUUGGGCGUAAAGAGCGCGCAGGCGGGUUUUUAAGUCAGAUGUGAAAUCCUGGGGCUCAACCUCAGAACUGCAUUUGAAACUGAAAAUCUUGAGGGUAGUCGGAGAAAAUGGAAUUCCACGUGUAGCGGUGAAAUGCGUAGAUAUGUGGAAGAACACCGGUGGCGAAGGCGAUUUUCUAGAUUAUUCCUGACGCUGAGGCGCGAAAGUAAGGGGAUCAAACAGG